GACGAACGCUGGCGGCGUGCCUAAUACAUGCAAGUAGAACGUACAGUUUAUACCGUAGCUUGCUACACCAUAGACUGUGAGUUGCGAACGGGUGAGUAACGCGUAGGUAACCUGCCUGGUAGCGGGGGAUAACUAUUGGAAACGAUAGCUAAUACCGCAUAAUAUUAAUUAUUGCAUGAUAAUUAAUUGAAAGGUGCAAUUGCACCACUACCAGAUGGACCUGCGUUGUAUUAGCUAGUAGGUGAGGUAACGGCUCACCUAGGCGACGAUACAUAGCCGACCUGAGAGGGUGAUCGGCCACACUGGGACUGAGACACGGCCCAGACUCCUACGGGGGGCAGCAGUAGGGAAUCUUCGGCAAUGGACGAAAGUCUGACCGAGCAACGCCGCGUGAGUGAAGAAGGUUUUCGGAUCGUAAAGCUCUGUUGUAAGAGAAGAACGGGUGUGAGAGUGGAAAGUUCACACUGUGACGGUAUCUUACCAGAAAGGGACGGCUAACUACGUG
RNAcentral lists this ribosomal RNA (505 nucleotides) under uncultured bacterium. Its description in RNAcentral is "partial 16S ribosomal RNA". It matches the Rfam family "Bacterial small subunit ribosomal RNA", at positions 28 to 507 of the family's 1533-position model. The record is from RNAcentral.